Molecule: long non-coding RNA, 530 nt
Organism: Anoplophora glabripennis (Asian longhorned beetle)
Lineage: Eukaryota; Metazoa; Arthropoda; Insecta; Coleoptera; Cerambycidae
Exons: 3
Source: RefSeq, a predicted model, not a curated record
UUCUUGACAAUUCAUUAGACAGUAAUUAGUUCCUGACAAAUUGUUUAUCAUCACAUAGCUGGAGUAGUUUUCCAGGAGUAGUACAGCGAUUAGUUUCUAUCGUCUGACUUAAAUUUGUUUUACUGUGAUGGCAAGAAUGCACAUUAUAAGGUUGGCUCGAGUUGUAAUCUAGACAAAAAUUCUCUAAGACAGACAGUUAUUGAUACAUAUGCUAUAUGAACUUGCAAGAGACACAAUUCAAGGCUGUUCUAAAAAAUAUUUACAGAGUAUUGCUGGAAAGAAUACCAUAAAGUUGGAAGAUCUAACGAGAAGGCUAGCAUAGUUAAUAUUUUGAUACUGUUUUCAAGUGCAAUAUUUAAGAGAAGCAAAAUAUGAAGAAUUAUUAGCAGGAAACUGAAAAAUUCAAGAAAGAACAUGUUCACUGAAUGAUAAAACCUCUGUGUUUCAAUAUCAUCUAUGUUGUCGAUUACCACAACAUGUGUUAUAUUUAAGAUACGGUAGCUGUUGUAGAGCAUAGUAUCGAUUUUAGU